UUCCUACGGGAGGCAGCAGUAGGGAAUUUUCGUCAAUGGGCGCAAGCCUGAACGAGCAAUGCCGCGUGAACGAGGAAAGUCUUCGGAUCGUAAAGUUCUGUUGAAGGGGAAAAAGAGCGGAGAGAGGAAAUGGUCUCCGAUUGAUAUUACCCUUCGAGGAAGUCACGGCUAACUACGUGCCAGCAGCCGCGGUAAUACGUAGGUGGCGAGCGUUAUCCGGAAUGAUUGGGCGUAAAGGGUGCGUAGGCGGCCUGCUAAGUCUGGAGUGAAAGGGACCGGUGCAACCGGUACAGGCCCUGGGAACG
Molecule: ribosomal RNA, 305 nt
Filed under: uncultured bacterium
Lineage: Bacteria
Description: bacterial SSU rRNA
Rfam family: Bacterial small subunit ribosomal RNA
Source: RNAcentral